CAUUCUGCCAUGGUGACUCACCAUAAUUUGGAUCCACUUGAGUUUUUAAAAGGGAAACUCUCUGUCUCUUCCUGAUUGUGCAUUAAUUCACAUAUUCCUUUAUUCAGUGAGCACAUAUUGAGUCCCUCCUUAGUACCAAGCAUUAUGUUGGAGAUACAGGAUGAAUAGGACUCUGAAAUGCUUUGAGAGAAAUGUUAAUACCUGUGUGUGUGUGUGUGUGUGUGUGUGUGUGUAUGGGUGUGUAAGUUGUAUAUAAUCACUGUCUCCACCCUCUCCAAAAAGACCAGAACUGAUUAGAAGAGAAAGACUAACUUGGUGCAUGGAAUUCUGUAUGCGUGCCAAAUACUGCUGCAAAAAAGAUUUGGCAUCUGAGUGAAAAGACACCAACCAAGCAUUUGAUUUCUAUGGUUGAACACUCUCAAGAUCUUGCUCUCCUAUAUUUCAUUUAAAAAAUUGCUCCCCGAAGUGCAAACUGACUUCAAUUUUGAAUAAAAUGUAGCAUUCAAAUUUAUAGCCACUUUGAAAACGGAGGGUUUAUUUAGAUCAUGUGAACCUGAACAGAUUCUUAAUUACAGCAGCCCUGUUGCACAUAGAGAAUCUGGGUUA
Long non-coding RNA from Lontra canadensis (Northern American river otter), 606 nucleotides. RefSeq lists it as uncharacterized. Lineage: Eukaryota; Metazoa; Chordata; Mammalia; Carnivora; Mustelidae. The transcript has 2 exons. The record is from RefSeq and is a predicted model, not a curated record.